UGGGGAAUAUUGGACAAUGGGCGCAAGCCUGAUCCAGCAAUGCCGCGUGAGUGAUGAAGGCCUUAGGGUUGUAAAGCUCUUUUACCCGUGAUGAUAAUGACAGUAGCGGGAGAAUAAGCCCCGGCUAACUCCGUG
RNAcentral lists this ribosomal RNA (135 nucleotides) under uncultured bacterium. RNAcentral describes it as "partial 16S rRNA". It matches the Rfam family "Bacterial small subunit ribosomal RNA", at positions 355 to 507 of the family's 1533-position model. The record is from RNAcentral.